ACGGGUCUGUGCAUGUUUUUGUCACUCCACAAGGUCACUGUCCGGAAGUGGUAGGGGGAAGGUUAUCAAAACAAGGUGUCAAAAGUACUCACAAAAGGCCUUCAUCGCCUCACAAAUGAAUGACCUUAAUGAACCUACCAUCGGGCUCAGCAGUCUUCCUCAAGAAAUAUUGCAGGAUGACCUCAGUGACCCUAUAAUCGGACUCAGCAGGUUUUCUGGAGGAAACCCUGGAAGUGUUCUCAGGUGAGCAGGUAAGGUAGACGCUUCCUGAUUCAGUUCUCCAUUUUGACUUGAAACUUUCUCAACAGCCUUCCUCAAGAAAUGUUGCAAGCAUUUCAACAAUAUUUGCCAGCAUAACUUUUCAAAAGGGUAUAUGACCUCCUUCCUGUUGUCCUUCAGGAAUCUUCUUGAAUCAUCUUGUUUUCACCUCUGAUCACCCUUUAUCGACAGCCAGAAAAGCCCUGCAUCGCCUUCCCAACCACUGAUGGAAAAGGCCUUGUUUUUCUGCAGUUAUUUUUCUCUUCACAGAAGCUACACCUGGUCUUGCGCUGUCGUUCCUCAGCUUCACACACUGUUAUUUCUGAAUUAAGAUGCCUGUUGGGGCACCUCUGACCUUUUGUAACUUGACAUUAUUUAACACAAAAACACAGCGGGCUCUGAUGGGUAACCCCAGCAGUGCUACCACCAGGCUCAGCAGGUGUUCUGGAGAAAACCCUGGAGGUGUCUCUUUUUUAUCCAGUUCUCCAUUUUGACUUGGAACCUUCUUAGCAAUCUGCCUUGAGAAAUGCAGGUAUUUUGCUGUUAUUUAAGUGAUAUUUACGUGUGAGUUUUUGAAAAGUUGUGAUUUCAUUUUGAGACGUUAAAGGGUUUGACCUGAAACCUGCACCCGUCCUGUUGUCGUUGCCCUCCCGUUCUGUUGUCAUUGCCCUCCCAUCUUGUUAUCCUUCAGGAAUCCUCCUGGAUCGUCUCGUUUCCGUCUCUGAUUUUGCCUCUGCAACUUCAGGACUAAAAAGACAGAGCUUGUCUGCAUAAAUCUGAUGAGUAUCUGUGUAAUGUAUCUGUGUGUGUUGACAGGAAGACAGAACAGCAUGUG
Non-coding RNA from Poecilia reticulata (guppy), 1093 nucleotides. The record is from RefSeq and is a predicted model, not a curated record. NCBI's taxonomy places the organism in Eukaryota, Metazoa, Chordata, Actinopteri, Cyprinodontiformes, Poeciliidae.